GCUGCCCGCUUCGGCGGGGGGAGGAAAGUCCGAGCAACACAGAGCGCCGUCCAAGCUAACGACUUGACGUCCGUAAGGGCGUAGUAACGUAACAGAAAACAACCGCCCGCAAGGGUAAGGGUGAAAAGGCGGGGUAAGAGCCCACCGCGGAGGUAGCAAUACGCUCCGGCAGUACGUCUGACGGGUUGCAAGACCAUGUAUACCGACAGCCAAGGGUUGCUCGUCCGAUGUCGGGGGGUAGGUCGCUUGAGGCCGCAGGUGACUGCGGUCGUAGAUAAAUGAUGGAGGCUUCGCCUGCGGGCGGAGAACAGAACUCGGCUUACAGGGC
This 328-nucleotide RNase P RNA is filed under the name uncultured Alistipes sp. Its description in RNAcentral is "Bacterial RNase P class A". It matches the Rfam family "Bacterial RNase P class A". Rfam says of the family: Ribonuclease P (RNase P) is a ubiquitous endoribonuclease, found in archaea, bacteria and eukarya as well as chloroplasts and mitochondria. Its best characterised activity is the generation of mature 5'-ends of tRNAs by cleaving the 5'-leader elements of precursor-tRNAs. The record is from RNAcentral. Lineage: Bacteria; Pseudomonadati; Bacteroidota; Bacteroidia; Bacteroidales; Rikenellaceae.